RNA transcript from Pseudoliparis swirei, 3144 nucleotides. It is a transcript of the gene named ALX homeobox 1, with no coding region annotated. The record is from RefSeq and is a predicted model, not a curated record. NCBI's taxonomy places the organism in Eukaryota, Metazoa, Chordata, Actinopteri, Perciformes, Liparidae. The transcript has 5 exons.
UCUUAGAAAUGUCUUUAUUUUUCAAAGUAAAGCACUGUUUUUUCAAUAAAGAUAACAUUAAUCAUAAAUACCCACUAUACAUUGUUAAUGUGGUAAAUGACUAUUCUAGGUGGAAGUGUCUGGUUUCUAAUGAAAUAUCUCCAGAGGUGUAAAGAGGCCCAUUUCCAUCAACUAUCACUCCAGUGUUCUAAUGGUACAUUGUGUUUGCUAAUCGCCUUAGAAGACUAAUAUCUGAUUAGAAAACCCUUGUGCAAUUAUGUUAGCACAGCUGAAAACAGUUAUGCUGGUCAUAUAAGCUAUACAACUGGCCUUCCUUUGAGCUUGAAGUUUGAAGAACAAAAUUAAUACUUCAAAUAUUAAUCAUUAUUUCUAACCUUGUCAAUGUCUUGACUAUAUUUUCUAUUCAUUUGAUAAAUAAAAGUGUGAUUUUUCAUGGAAGACACAAAAUUGUCUGGGUGACCCCAAACUUUUGAACGGUAGUGUAAUAUAUAUAUACAUAUUUAUCAAUUAUAUUAUUUUGUGAAAAUAGUUAAUUAUUUUUUAUAUAUUUUGUGUUAAUAUUAGCUUAUUGUUCCUUUUUAUUCCUCUUUGAGUUUCAUGAGUUUGUUUCAUUCAGUCCUAGAGUUAUGACGUCAUGCACGUGGAGCAUCUGAAAGUAUCAUCACUUACAAAAACAUCCUUCAUUAAUAUGACACAUUGACUUGUCUGGUGCGCGCGUGCACGUGUAAAUUGUGACGUCAUUGUGUACAUUAGGCUUAAGCUAUUUCGAGAAAAAUACCAAAUAUUUAAACGUUAAACAUGAAAUGUCGAAAUAAAUAUACGGUUAAAGGGACGAACUAUUGAAGAUAGAAGGCUACAAAUCAGAGUGCCUGCACAUAAAGAUAAUAUAACAACAAUAAAAUUAAAAUAAAGUAAAGACACGUGUCCACAGCUCCUGAUUUAGAGUCCCGUCAAACAUACUGCGCCGCGUUCACGGACGUCUGAACAUGCUGUAAAUUAAAGUCACUUCUGAUUGUUGUUGCGGGGCUGCAGAGGAGUCCCGGUCCGGGACCUGGGAGGAGCUGGGCGAGGGGAGGGGGGGGGGGGGGGGGGCUCUUUAAGGAGCGCAUUCUCUUCGGGGCUAUAAAGACGUCGCGACAGCUUCGAGGACGCGCGGACAAAUUAACUCCAUUUGGAGAAUUAUUGCGCGCGACGGCGAUUAGUUUAUUUCUUCUUCUUCUUCUUGAGGGCUGUCUUCCUCUCUCUCAUGGUGAGCUGCUGAUCGGCCGGUGAGGAUGAUGGAGUACAUGGAGGAUAAGUUUGCGUUGAAGAGCCAAACGAUGAAGGCCAGCGACUACUACCUGGACCAGGUCAUGGAGAGCCUGGACGGCGCGCACUACUUCAGCAAGGCGACCCCCAAAUGCGGCGCGGCCUUCGGGCUGCAGGGCGCCGAGCACCGCUCCUCUCCCCACGGAGACCCGCACGCUAACUACGGUGUGCCAAAGACGGACGAGGACCCUGUGCACGCGGACCUCGGCAGCGGCUGUUGCGCCGUGCGCGCGUCCCCGGUGACGUCCGGCCAGGACAAGCCGGACCUGGACGACAUGGGGGACAAGUGCGACAGCAACGUGUCCAGCAGCAAGAAGAGGAGACACCGGACCACGUUCACCAGCGCGCAGCUGGAGGAGCUGGAGAAAGUGUUCCAGAAGACUCACUACCCAGAUGUGUACGUGAGGGAACAGCUGGCCAUGAGGACGGAACUCACGGAGGCCAGAGUGCAGGUGUGGUUUCAGAACAGAAGAGCCAAGUGGAGGAAGCGAGAGCGCUACGGCCAGAUCCAACAAGCCAAGACUCACUUCGCCGCCACCUACGACCUGUCGGUGCUGCCGCGGACCGACGGCUACACGCAGAUCCCCAACAACCUGUGGCCGGGCGCGGCCCCCGGGGGCCCCGUGGUCUCCUCCUGCAUGUUGCCCCGGGGCUCGCCGCCCUGCGUCGCCUCCUACUCGCACUCCCCGCGCUCGGCCGCCGCCGCCGCCGCCGAGCACGGCUACGUGGGCUUCCCCAACCAGCAGAACCAGUUCGGCCACGUGUCCCUCAACAACUUCUUCGGCGCUGACUCCCUCCUGGCGCCGGGCGCCGCCGCCGGCCAUCACCACCACCACGCCUUCGAGGCCAAGCCCGAGUUCGAGAGGCGCUCGUCCAGCAUCGCCGUGCUGCGCAUGAAGGCCAAAGAGCACGCCGCCAACAUCUCGUGGGCCAUGUGAUCCGGAGAGAACGAAGGAAUAGAGAUAUAUUUAAAUGUGUUGGAGCCCGGCGGCUGAGACCCGCGUCACACGCAACCCCUGGACCCAGAACCUCCCUGACUCGCGCCGGGCCAGGAACGUGUCAGGAUGAGGUCCAGUGCAAAGUAGACCGCCAUGACGCUGCGUGGCAGGAGGCGGAGCUCCAGUCAGGUGGCCUGGAUGUUAUCAUUCAAAGACACUUCAAGCUUUAAUGACAACUGGCGACGGCGGGAACACGAGGCGGCCCUGCUGCGGUACGGGACAUUUUGAGAACACCGAGUUCCCGGCUGUCGCUUUAAGACAGUCUCAACCUUCAUGUCGCCCAACUGACGCGAUGCGUUCAAAGUCAUUGGGACUUUCGGGGUCUGAUCCAGGGCGUUGCUCCGCAGCCCACAGUCCUCUCCUGGUCGGACCAGAUGGUCGAUUAACCCCUCGUGAUCUGAGGAGGUGAGAGCUGUGCUUUCAUUGUCGUCGUUGUUGUUUUUUAACGGAGGUUGGGGGAGUCCUCCAUGAGACAGAAAGAGAGUGAGAUGGAGGUGAAGAGGGGAAAACACCCUCCAGGCUCCGGGGGGGAUCUGAUCCCAGGGUGGUGUACGUGUGGAUCCAGAGGGAGGGGUCCUAAACCACGACAGACAUUUCUUAGUACUGUGAAUAAGCUUUCUUUACCCCCCCCCCCCUCCACCUCCUCCACCUCUCCAGCUCAGGACUGAAGAUGAACUCUCUCUGCUGUCGGCCUCCGUUGUGUCUCACAGGUCUGCGACGCGGCCAGAGGAGGCAGGUUUUAAAAACAUUAGGUUCCUCGAUGUUCUGACUCCACGAGAUCCCGAAAGCUCUUAAGGGACCCGGGUCUGCAGCCAGGAGGAGGUCUUUGAGGAGGUCC